UGGAAACCUUGGGAAGAUUUGGAGGUC
Molecule: non-coding RNA, 27 nt
Filed under: Mus musculus (house mouse)
Lineage: Eukaryota; Metazoa; Chordata; Mammalia; Rodentia; Muridae
Source: RNAcentral